Molecule: ribosomal RNA, 52 nt
Filed under: Achromobacter insolitus
Lineage: Bacteria; Pseudomonadati; Pseudomonadota; Betaproteobacteria; Burkholderiales; Alcaligenaceae
Description: partial 23S ribosomal RNA
Source: RNAcentral
GUUAUAGGAUCAAGCGACUAAGUGCAUAUGGUGGAUGCCUUGGCGAUCACAG